This is a regulatory RNA element of Pelodiscus sinensis (Chinese soft-shelled turtle), 46 nucleotides long. It matches the Rfam family "Histone 3' UTR stem-loop". Rfam says of the family: The mRNAs of metazoan histone genes lack a poly-A tail. NCBI's taxonomy places the organism in Eukaryota, Metazoa, Chordata, Testudines, Trionychidae. The record is from Rfam.
CCAAAGGCUCUUUUCAGAGCCACCCACAGUAUCGAGAAAAGAGUUG